Long non-coding RNA from Bubalus bubalis (water buffalo), 462 nucleotides. RefSeq lists it as uncharacterized. The transcript has 2 exons. The record is from RefSeq and is a predicted model, not a curated record. NCBI's taxonomy places the organism in Eukaryota, Metazoa, Chordata, Mammalia, Artiodactyla, Bovidae.
CCCAGGGGAGCCUUGGAAGCUCUGAUCGAAGAUGGCAGAAGGCCUGUGUCCUGGGCAGAGGCCCCCGUCUGUCUGGACUUGAGUUGAUCAGUGCCUACAUCGCUAGCAGAGUAAUGGACACAUAGUGGCAGUGGGGUAAGUUUCCAUGUCACAGCCUCACUGCAGCGAGGUGGGGCCAGGUGACUUACACUCUGGCCAACAGGACAUGAAUGGAGGUGAGGUGUCCAAAUCCUGGCUCAUGACUUUAAAGGCAAGGGGCUGCCCUCCUCCCCCACCUGCCUCCAAGGGGUAAGGGCAACACCCUAAGGUGGUAGAGAUAUAAGACAGAAGGGGCUUGAACCUCUGGAUGACUGUAGACCAGGUCUACCUCAGAGGCCCUGGACUGUCUACUUUAGAUUCUUAUAUGAGAGAAAUAAACUCUUUUUUUUUUCUUAAAUAAGAAAUAAAUGUUAUUUAAGUUGU